AAGAGUUAGGGUCCCUCGUGGCCCGACCUCCCAACCCUUUGUUUACUAAACCUAUGUUGCUUCGGCGGACCCGUCUUCAUUGACCGUCGGAGGAUCGCACUGGUCCUCUGGCCCGUGUCCGUCGAUAGCCCAUCUUAAACUCUUUUGAAUCAUGUCUUAUUCUGAGUAACAAACAAAAUUAAAGCA
Molecule: unclassified non-coding RNA, 186 nt
Filed under: uncultured fungus
Lineage: Eukaryota; Fungi
Description: sequence contains ITS1
Source: RNAcentral